AGAGUUUGAUCCUGGCUCAGAUUGAACGCUGGCGGCAGGCCUAACACAUGCAAGUCGAACGGUAACAUUUCUAGCUUGCUAGAAGAUGACGAGUGGCGGACGGGUGAGUAAUGCUUGGGAACUUGCCUUUGCGAGGGGGAUAACAGUUGGAAACGACUGCUAAUACCGCAUAAUGUCUUCGGACCAAACGGGGCUUCGGCUCCGGCGCAAAGAGAGGCCCAAGUGAGAUUAGCUAGUUGGUAAGGUAACGGCUUACCAAGGCGACGAUCUCUAGCUGUUCUGAGAGGAAGAUCAGCCACACUGGGACUGAGACACGGCCCAGACUCCUACGGGAGGCAGCAGUGGGGAAUAUUGCACAAUGGGGGAAACCCUGAUGCAGCCAUGCCGCGUGUGUGAAGGAGGCCUUCGGGUUGUAAAGCACUUUCAGUUGUGAGGAAAAGUUAGUAGCUAAUACCUGCUAGCCGUGACGUUAACAACAGAAGAAGCACCGGCUAACUCCGUGCCAGCAGCCGCGGUAAUACGGAGGGUGCGAGCGUUAAUCGGAAUUACUGGGCGUAAAGCGCACGCAGGCGGUUUGUUAAGCUAGAUGUGAAAGCCCCGGGCUCAACCUAGGAUGGUCAUUUAGAACUGGCAGACUAGAGUCUUGGAGAGGGGAGUGGAAUUCCAGGUGUAGCGGUGAAAUGCGUAGAUAUCUGGAGGAACAUCAGUGGCGACGGCGACUCCCUGGUCCAAAGACUGACGCUCAUGUGCGAAAGUGUGGGUAGCGAACAGGAUUAGAUACCCUGAUAGUCCACACCGUAUACGCUGUCUACUAGCUGUGUAUGGCCUCUAAAGCAGUGCGUAGCGAAUGCUAACGCGACUGAGUAAGUCCGCCUGGGGGAACUACCGCCGCCAUGUUCAAAAGCUCAAAUGAAUGACGGGGGCCCGCACAAUGCGCUGAGCAUGUGGCUAAUCGAUGCCACGCGAGACGUACCUACACUGACUGCUGAAAGUACUAAGAAUGUUUCAGGCAUCGGACUCAAACCAGGUGCUGCAUGGCUGUCGUCAAAUCGUACCUGAAGUAGGGUUAAGUCCGACUAGCAACCUGCUAAUGCAGCUAAGUGGAUUAGGAAACUGCCCG
This 1120-nucleotide ribosomal RNA is filed under the name uncultured bacterium. RNAcentral's name for it is "bacterial SSU rRNA". It matches the Rfam family "Bacterial small subunit ribosomal RNA", at positions 8 to 1155 of the family's 1533-position model. The record is from RNAcentral.